RNAcentral lists this ribosomal RNA (680 nucleotides) under uncultured Eubacteriales bacterium. Its description in RNAcentral is "bacterial SSU rRNA". It matches the Rfam family "Bacterial small subunit ribosomal RNA", at positions 58 to 741 of the family's 1533-position model. Lineage: Bacteria; Bacillati; Bacillota; Clostridia; Eubacteriales. The record is from RNAcentral.
CAAGUCGAACGAUGAAGAUUAUUAGACUUCUUCGGAAUGAAAAUAAUUGGAUUAGUGGCGGACGGGUGAGUAACGCGUGAGUAACCUGCCUUACACAAGGGGAUAGCCGUUGGAGACGACGAAUAAUACCCUAUGAAACUAUCACUUCGCAUGAAGCGAUAGUCAAAGUGUUAGCGGUGUAAGACGGACUUGCGUCUGAUUAGCUAGUUGGUGAGAAAAAAGCCCACCAAGGCAACGAUCAGUAGCCGGCUUGAGAGAGUGUACGGCCACAUUGGGACUGAGACACGGCCCAGACUCCUACGGGAGGCAGCAGUGGGGAAUUUUGCACAAUGGGGGAAACCCUGAUGCAGCGACGCCGCGUGAUUUAGAAGGCCUUCGGGUUGUAAAAAUCUUUUGUAUAGGAAGAAAAUGACAGUACUAUACGAAUAAGGUCCGGCUAAUUACGUGCCAGCAGCCGCGGUAAUACGUAAGGACCGAGCGUUGUCCGGAAUCAUUGGGCGUAAAGGGUACGUAGGCGGGUCAUUAAGUUAGAAGUCAAAGGCUAUAGCUCAACUAUAGUAAGCUUCUAAAACUGGAGACCUUGAGUAAUGGAAGGGAAAGUGGAAUUCCUAGUGUAGCGGUGGAAUGCGCAGAUAUUAGGAGGAAUACCGGUGGCGAAGGCGACUUUCUGGCCAUUAACU